CAUCAAGGAGCGAGCAUGUAACAGGCAAAAAAUAGAAGCUGGCUUUUCUCCGUGCCAGCCCCAGGGCUUGGGUUCCCAGCAAACGGCACAGGGUACAGCCCCAGUCGGAAACUCCCAACCUUACUCAGGGGGAAAAACGGGGUUUUCCGGAGACCUGUCCCUUUAGGGUUUAAAAGCGCGUCCCGUGGGAGCUUCGCUUUCACUUCUCUAGGGAGUUCGGAGCGGCAAGAGCCCAGCUGCUCGCCAAACCCCGCGGCCGCCCGCGUGAGUGACUUGGCGCAGCCAGAAACGAGGUUCAGUCUUUGGGUUUAUCACCGGCGCGCCUACACCGCCUCCUUUCCUAGGCACCUGCUUCCCAUGCACCUGGACCUGGACCAGAGGAGGGCGCGAAUUUCCAAAGCACCGCAGGAGAAACGAGCCGGCUUUCUGAAUCAGAGCGAUUUGGGGUAAAAAGCCUUGUCAGAUGACCUCCAAGGGCCUUGGCAAACGCUGGGCGAUUGGAUUGCUAAUAAGUCCACAGAAGCCACAAAUGUGCAAGACGCAAGCUGGACUAUUGCAAGUGGAGGCGUCCACCGAGGAGGCGUCCACCGAGGAGGCGUCUCAGCUCCUGCCGCGGAUGUGGUGGACGUUGCCAAGUCGUCUUGUAAAAAAAGGAAGUGAAAAAUGAUUAAGAGGGUCACGCCCUCUGCCCCUCCAACCUCUCUAAUCAGUCUCUUUCAGCUCUGUCUUCUGUACAUGCACCUGCUCAGGUGGAACCUCAAGGAAAAAUAUCCUGUGGGUCCACCUAAUCUGGUUGUUGUCAACCACAUCAUCCAUGACCGUCGCAAUCAAUAAAAGUCAAAUAGUUCAAUAGAAUAUUUUUCCUCCUCCUCCUCCUCUUCCUCCUCAUCAUCAUCGUCAUCACUGUCAUCACCACACCACAACGGGUAGAAUAUCUUAACAAUCAAAAUACUUUAAUAUUCUACGGGAAAUUAUUUCAAUGUAGAUGACAGUUUUUUAUUUAAAAUUUUUUAGCAUUGCUAAUAUAAACAUUAUAUUUUAUUCAGCCACCAGAGGGAGCCCCCAAAUAUAUGGAUUCUAGAAGAGAAUGAGAGCAAAAUAAAUAAUAACAUGAUCAACUCUAUUUUGUGGCUGUGGAAACUGUCAUGCAAGAGGUUAAGCAAAUUACCCAAGGCCAUGGAGCAGAUGAGUGAGAGAGCUGGGAGCGGAUCCAGGACUCUGCACUGCCUAGUUGACACAUUGCGUUCCAUUGUCUCACCAGGCUGCAAGCCGGCCUACUUCUUCCCAUCGCACUUAACUAAAAUCAGGUAUCGCAAUUAGCAUUUCUGAGCAAUAGUCAAUGGUAUUUCACCACCAAAAACAGAAUGUUGUCUCAAUAGAAAAACAAAUUAUAAGCAAUGAAUAAAGGUGAAAUAUAUUCAUUCAGAGCAGUGUUGAUAUGUUCAAUCCUUCUUCACAUCCUUUAACCUCUUAUCCUCUCCAGGCUGCUUAUAAAUAUAUUCAAUGUGUCAACAAAAAGUUUUAAUACAGAUACUGCCAGAAUAUCAGCAUUUUGGACAAAGAAAAAAACUUUCUACUUGAUGUUAACAUAACUCUGCAUUUGAACUAGGUAUAUCUCUCUCUCUCUGUGGAUAAUUAAAAAGCUAUUUGUAAAUGAAAUAAAAUAUUAAAUACAUAAAGGCACCACAUUGAGUUACAUUUUUCCACAAAGCACAGCCACUCUCUAACAAAUACAUAUUUACCAUUUCAAUCAACUAUGCUCUUCGACAAGCCAAACGAAUUCACUUCCCUUAAAACCUAAAAAGCCUAAGCAAUAAUAUGGUCUUUGAGACACAAAGGAGAAACAGUGUCCCAUCAUGAUUGUUUCCUGGACCAGCUAUAGGACAGUUGCCCAUGCAAUAGGCCAUAGCCAGGCCCUGCAAUGCAGUAGCUCCCUUCAGGGGGCACUCAGAGUGCUAUUUUCCCCUUCCUGGGUCCCCCAUUGCCCCUACCACACCUCCUAAGAAUGCUCCAGGGCUGGUUCUGUGCUGAAGUGCAGGGUCCCUCAUCGCACACUGUAACCUGCAGUACCCUAGACUGCUGCCUCCUCGGCUUACCACAGGGGGCAGACGCUGACUGAGAAAGUGGUUCAAGAAACAAAUUCCUAAGGAAAAGCAGGGAAAUGCAAAAAAUGUAAUAAAUGAAUAAAAUAAAAAUAAAAUAAAUUUUAAAACAUGUUUUCUGGUUUCACCUUCAAUAGUACAAUACAUCUCAUGAGAUAUGGUUUAUCUCACAUAUUUAAAAAAUAAACAGCUCUUCAUUAAUGCUGAGGAUGUAUGAACUUAAGGUUUAAAGCUAGGGUGAUUUAAAGUUUUUUUGCAGGAAACCACUUCUUGGUGGUGUGCUUCUUUUUAUGUCAAAUUUAAUAAUUCUAUGAAUAUGUUUCACUCAAAUGUCCCAGCUUUGUUAUAAUCCCCCAGAUGAAUAAUGCAUUUCUCAGAAAGUAUCCUUCCCAAAGCAGAAAGCACUAUGAACAUUCUUUAUAACUUCCUUUGCCAGUCCAUGGUUUUUCAUCCUUUGCUACACAUUUUUCAAAACCUGAGCAAAGGCACAUAAAUUAUUGUUAUUCUUAAUCAGCUGAGCUAUUGUACAUGCAAAAUUCAAAAAUCUCAACCUGUGGAAAGCAUUAGGAAGAGAUAUCACUACUGAUUAUUGCUCUGUACAGACUUUCUCGUGUUGUUAUCCUAACUUUAUUUUAGUGUGGUGGUGUCAAGCAUGGACUCUGGGGCUUGCCUGCUGGGAUCUGAAAUUUUGCUUCACCACUUACUGAGUUAUCGUGAACAUGUUACUUGAUUUUUGUGCCUCAGUCUUCUCAUCUAUAAAAUGGACAUCUAUAAAUAAUGGUCCUUAUCACAUUGUUUGGAAGAUUAAACGAGUUAAUAUUUGUAAAUUAUGCAUAUUUAUUAAAAACAGAACGCUGCUUGAUAGGGUGUUUUAUACAUAAAAGAAAGCAUAUAUUUUUUAUAGCAUCAUGCAGCUCCACAUCAAUAUGUCCAUAUUAAUGAUUGGGUCUCUUUUCUCUACCUGUCCAGAAUGCUUGACAUAUGACAGUGGGAUACAUUAGGGAACUGCCUGGGUGCCAGUAUUUUCAUCUAAAAAAUGGUGAUGAUGAUCUUGCCUUGGAGGUCUGAUGUGCAAUAAAGGGAGGCAGCACACAUAAAGUGCUUAGCAAAAGAUCUUAUUGGGAAUCCAUAAAUGCUCAUUGACAAAUAGAAAUAACUACAUGCAAAGUCAUCAUAUAAGUUCAAACCACAUAAAGAUUCUAGAAGAUAAAAUUACUAUCAUAGAAACAAAACAAUUGUUUAUUGAAAGGGUCAGGUCAUUUUGUCUUUUUAUUAUCAGAGUCAAAUUAGAAAUUUUCAAUCCACAAUUUCCAAAGAAAAUAUUCAGAGAGAAUUUCAAGAAAAUUUCAUCCCUUCAGGGUUUUAUAGCCUUUUUAAAAACUUAAACACAAUAAAAAUGUCAAUAUUUUAACACUACAUUUCUACUUACUGGAAAAGCCUUGUAGAAAUACUAUUAAAGUUUACUUAGAAGCAAACAAGGCAAAUUGGGAUACUUGUAAGUUUCUUGCUUCUUUGUGCUACUCCAUGGUGGAGGAAUAACCAUUCAUAGUUUCCUUUGUAAGGAUGAUCAAAGAGGAAAAUGGAAAUCACUUGUGUAAGUACAAGUCAAUUAUUUACAUGUGAAAAAGAGGUAAAAUCGGUGGUCUGGAGUAGGCACAAUCUUUAUUUUAAUGAACGGCAUUUUAGUUUUAGAUGACUGGGAAUCUUAACUCCCCCACCCCUAUACAUUAUGGCAUAUUCAGUAAAUAUCUUUACAAAAUUUGUUGCUGCUGCAUAAGACUUUACUCACCUGUGGGCAAUUCCAGAUAAUUGAAAAUUGCAUUAGUUUUGGUGAAAAAUAAGCAUGAUAUUAGAACUGGGUCUUCGGUGGAUGGUAGGACAGGUUGGACUUAGGAAUGUAGGUUCUUAGGAACACAAAGGCCAAUUGAAUUAUAACAGAGUAUCUGGGAAAGCUCUUGGAGUGUGGGCAAUUAGAAGAAAAUGAGCAGGUUUCAGUGAAGACUACAGUCAAUGAGCAAGAGAUGAAAAGAGAAUAUGAGGCUGAGAAGUACUGGGAGGGAAGAGCUUAUAUCAGGGCAGUCUUUCUAGCACCAGAUAGAAACCAUUCUGUCACUAUGUUGAAUAGAAAUGGUGAUAUUGGGUAACCUUGCCUGGUUCUAGUUGUAAGAAGGAAUGUUUUCAAUUGUUCCCUGUUCAGAAUGAUGUUGGCCGUGGGUUUGUCAUAUAGUGCUUUUAACAUUUUGAAGUA
Molecule: non-coding RNA, 4350 nt
Organism: Microcebus murinus (gray mouse lemur)
Lineage: Eukaryota; Metazoa; Chordata; Mammalia; Primates; Cheirogaleidae
Source: RefSeq, a predicted model, not a curated record